RNAcentral lists this long non-coding RNA (210 nucleotides) under Elaeis guineensis (African oil palm). Its description in RNAcentral is "long non-coding RNA (EGUI_LNC077205)". The record is from RNAcentral. Lineage: Eukaryota; Viridiplantae; Streptophyta; Magnoliopsida; Arecales; Arecaceae.
GAUAGACCGACGUACAGAUUGCUUCUUUCGAGAUAGAUGAGUCUCAAGUCUACAGUGUAAAGACACAAGACGAUAAGUAUGGAUAGUUGUUAGAGAAUAACUAGUACUGAGCGUGACCAUACGAGAGAUCAUUUGGAUUUCUAUUCGAUCGUAAGUGAUUGUCUCGAUAUUACAGUUGUAUGAAUAGUUCUUUGAUCUAAGAUGGUACUA